ACAUCUCAAGAUCUACUUGGGCUUCUUUCACAGGUCCUAUGGAAUCAUGACAGGUGACCCAACCACUUUGGGGUCAUCGUGGGGUCUGUUAGAUGCUGUCCUAGUAGGAGGCUACAAUGACCCAGCCGUAACACCUUAGGCACAGCUGUGUCUAGGGCCCUCUUGAGGUCUGAUUAGCUGUCAGAGGUUGCCCAGACGCGGGGCUUCGUCUUUGCUCGGCCCACAGGCUGUGGAAAGAACUCCUGAACCAUUGGGCCGGAGAGCCCGGUGUACAGGACAGGGCACGCCAGGUGGCAGCAGAGGAAUUGCCUCAAAGAAAAGACCUUGACGGGCACCGACUCAAGAACACCAGCCUGAAGGGUCACCUUCACUAGGAGACAGGGAAAAAGCCGCGAUAAACAUCCGGGGCCUGGUUCUGGGGA
This is a long non-coding RNA of Mastomys coucha (southern multimammate mouse), 422 nucleotides long. RefSeq lists it as uncharacterized. Lineage: Eukaryota; Metazoa; Chordata; Mammalia; Rodentia; Muridae. The transcript is spliced from 2 exons. The record is from RefSeq and is a predicted model, not a curated record.